Transfer RNA from Pleurotus ostreatus PC15, 95 nucleotides. It matches the Rfam family "tRNA". From Rfam's summary of the family: Transfer RNA (tRNA) molecules are approximately 80 nucleotides in length. The record is from Rfam. NCBI's taxonomy places the organism in Eukaryota, Fungi, Basidiomycota, Agaricomycetes, Agaricales, Pleurotaceae.
GCCCGCCUAGCUCAAUCGGAUAGAGCGUCAGACUCUUAGCGAGUGUUGUCAUAUAGGCGAUCUGAAGGCUGCGAGUUCGACCCUCGCGGUGGGCU